Leopardus geoffroyi (Geoffroy's cat) is the source of this 4424-nucleotide long non-coding RNA. RefSeq lists it as uncharacterized. The transcript is spliced from 3 exons. The record is from RefSeq and is a predicted model, not a curated record. Lineage: Eukaryota; Metazoa; Chordata; Mammalia; Carnivora; Felidae.
AUCUGCUCCCCACAGCCCGGGCUCUGGGCACCUCCCUCAACCACCUCUGAGGAAGCCAGGGCUCGGCACCCGAGGCAGGUUUCCUGGGGCCCCUCCCAAGCGAACCUCCACCAGCAAGUUGGACAAAGAGCUUUCCCGAACCGUGGUGCCUGAAGCCCGUGCUCUGGGAACGUCCUCUCCCGGAGUGAUUUUGGAGCCAGGCCAGGGGGGUGAGGGAGGCAGAAAGGUGCCCGGGGCUGGAGAGAGCCCCGGUUGGUGACAGAUUCGGGUGAUGACAGCCUCCCCAAGCAAGGGCGCUUCUGAACUCCGGGGUGGGGGGGCGGGGGGGGAUGCUUCCCUCAUCCUUUUGGACAACUACUUGGAGCCAUAAGUAACCUCAGCAAAAUCGAGGCCUCAGCAAGCCACUUCUCUGUGACAAGCAUCCACCCAGGCCGUAGACACGUUUCUGCUGCCACUCCACAAGACGGACAGGGCGCCAGCGGGCAGGCGGGAAGGCCCCAGUACAGGCAAUCACCCCAUCUCCUUGGUUCGAAGCUUUACCCGUGUAUCAUGUUCCCUGUAGCCAUUUUAUUUUUGAAGACACUUCUAAUCCUUCCUCCCUAAUGAAAGCCCUAACCACCACCCCCCCACACACACCCCCACCCCAGAGAGCUACACGUCUGCUCCCUCGACCUGACCAUCUAGACAGGAUGACGUCAGCAGCAGCGACUCAAGGGACGUGUGUACAUAUGUAAAUGAGAAAUAGAGACACGUUAACAGAUGCAUUCAUUUCCCUUGGAAUGUGUAUUGUUUUUAUUUUACGGAACAAAACGAAACAAACAAACAAAAAAAAAAAGGCUUGAAACUCCAUCUUAACGUGAAAAAAACUAGAUCCUGUUAGCGUUUGUGAGGUCUCUCUCCACCUUUGUCUUAUGUAAUAUACUCUGCCCCUGUGUGGAAAGGCAUUUUUGUUCUGUUUUGUUUUUUAUUUUACCUCCAUGUACUAUUUAGCUUCCGGUGUACUGGUCCUGCCACCUGUGUAUUUUUAGGGUGCUAUGGAAAUAAUGAAAAGAAAUGGGGAUUUCAGACGAAAAUUGUAACCAAAUUCAUACUUUGUAUAAUUUUUGAUAUCAUGAUUGCAGGUGAUUCACAUGUCCACACAUAAACACACCCACAGCGCAGCCUGAAGUAACCCCCACAGAAAUUGUCAUUGUCUUUGUACAUCUCUGUACAAUGCAACCAUUUCAAACUUUAAACUGGUCAGAAACCUAAUUGUGAUUUCUAGUCUUGCAAAGCUGUAUGUAGUUAGAUGAUGUGACAACCUCUAAUAUUUAUCUAAUAAAUAUGUAUUCAGAUGAAACCUGUAUAUUAGGUGUUCAUGUGGUUAUUUUGUAUUUAAAGAUCAAAUUAUUUGACUAUUGCUAGACAUUUCUAUACUCUGUUGUAACACUGAGGUAUCUCAUUUGCCCAUGUUAAUUGUUUUCUAAAUAAAUUGACAAAAAACGAAGGUUUGGCGAAUUAGCUAUUUUGUGAACUUUAAGGAGCGGUUUGGGGGUUUGUUUUCUGCUUCUAAACCACCACCCCUGCCUGAUCACCUGGCAAAACCAAAACAAAACAGAAACAGUAAGCAAGCAAGCAAGCAGGCAGGUGGUUUGGUGUUGAUCUGGAGGAGCCCCUACCUCGGGUGUCCCUGGAGGAGACACUGGCGUGGCCAGGUUUCUCCAGAGAGACGUCCCUCAAUGAAUCACAAGAAUCUGAAGGCCUGUCUCGGGCUCUGCUCCUAGGCAACCAGACCUAAGGCAGCGGGGGCUGGGAGCGGGCCUGCGAGCCAGCCUCUGAGGACAGGAUGCUAGGGAUAGUCACUGACCGGAUGGCAACGGUGCCCCAUCCCUGGGGAUAACACGGGCAUGGGACAGCCAUGAUUCGCUAUGACUUCCACCUGCAGAAAACGGGUAAGGGGGCUGCAACAUCUGGGGCAAUCUGGCAUUUGGGAGUUAAGAGGAAAGAGUAAGUAUUAAGCCUAUGGAAUGGAGCGGCCAUUGCUAAGUGCCAUCGACUCAAGAAAGGAAAUUGCAUUCUCAGAUGUCUUGGUCAUUUAAAACAAAGUGUGAGAGUCCGAGGAAAACACUGAAGGAAGGAAGCAUCGAAGCACGUAUCUCCUGCAGCUGGAGUGCAAAUCAGGCUUGCACAAUCUGGGCUCAGGACCAGAGUGUCGUGGAGACAGAGAUCAAGUUACACGUGAGCCCACCAGCUUGGGUUUCCUCUCUCGAAGGCUGAUCCAGCUGCUGCCCUGGCUGAAUUCCAACAUGUCAUCAACAGAGACCGUGCCGACCCUCUGAGACGUGAACACCCCGUGAGGAGACCAGCUAGCCCCUCGGUGGCAGGUUUGUCACCUAGGACCUCUUCCACCCGAGAAAGGGCAGUGGUCCACUCUGUCCAGGAUCGAUGCCUCGUCUGAGAAUGGGUCUGCCUCUCCUUCUUAUGGAGCCUUAGGUCACCACCACUGUCUGAAAGCUCACGGACACGGGCUCCCAUACAACAUCACUACAGACAGAGAGAGCCUACUUACAGAAAGGCGGUGUGCCCGUGGAUACAUUCUGAUAGGUUCCACUGGCCCUACCACAGGGUGCACCAUGCCACUCUCAUGGAUGGUAGAAUGGCCUCUUCAAGAUGCAGCUGAGGUACCAAAGGGGUGGCAUCCUGGGAGAAUGGGCUGCUACUCUCCAGGUCACACUGCACAUGGCAAAGCAAUGACCACCCCGUGUCUGCCAAUAGGCAGACAGAUUAAACUCAAUAUGAGAAGCAAAUGGAUCUGAGCGGGGCAAGGGGAGGACUGUACGAACACCAAUGCUCCAGCCAGAUCCCCUCUGCUGGGCCCAGGCACCCCUCCCCCAGCUGCGGGAGUAUUGACCCUUUCUCUAGAGCAUGGCCCUGAGGAGGCAGGAGCUGCGUCAUCUGGGAAGUUGCACCCUCUUGGGGGCAGCCGGCAGCCCACAAUGACCAACGCAGAGUAUGAAAUGAAUGCCAGCUCCCUUCCUUCAGGAGAGACUACUCUGUGAUGCGCUCAUGCUCUGAAGCCCUCGCUCUGGGAUCAAGCCAAGAGGGUCCUCUCCCUGCCCCACCCCCCUCUUACAGGUGGUUUCAGAAGAGCCAGCCCACAAUCCAUCAACUUCACAAGAAUCCGGGUCUCAGGCUCUGCUUCCGGAGAGCCCCAUUCAAGGCAACAGCUCUUUGUUCUCGCGUUCUCUAAAUAUUGGUCUUGCCCCCUUGUCUUAGUUGUCUUAGUCUGCAAUUUCUCUGUGUGCAUCUCAACCUCUCCUAUGACCUUAAUAACCAAGCUUUUUUGCAGUUCGUGCAUGCUUUUAUUAAUUUUUAAUAGUUCAUUUUUCCAACAACGUUGAAGUAGUCGAAAAAUACUGAAAACCUGACAAAUAGGUAUCAUAAAACUUACAUUAUUUUAAACUUAAAUAUUUCAUUUAUACCCUAAGCAGAAUCUAUUAUCAUUUUACUUUCCUGUCUUCAAUGGAAGCAAACGCAUCAAUAAUAUCUUAAAAAUAUACUUGUUACCUAUCUGCUUUUCAACUGAGAUUUGCCGUAUUUUAUCAUUUCUCAUAAUCUAGUGACAAGUUUAAAUAAUUUCAAAGUGAUAGCAGGUUACUAAAACCUCAUUCGCAGGACCCCACUGUGUCUACUAUUAUUAAAGAGACUAUCAAGAACACUUCUAAAUUUGGGUAAGAUUACACUAGACAAAAUUUGUGACUCAGUUUUAGAAGAAAAAACAUGAUGGUGGUUUUUUUUUUUUUUUUUAAUGUAUGAAAACUGACACCUGCAUCCACUGAUUUAUACAUUUCCAAUUUCCUUCUUUUUUAUUUUCUCAUUCAGAUAUGAUAUUCAUGUAUCUUCCUAAGUUUUAAAGCACUAAUGACUUGCCUCCUUAAAUAUCUAUCCAGUCCGACGUCUUAUUUCCAUCCCUAAUGCUGUUACUGUCAUUCAAGACCACUGUCAGUUCCCAUCUGGACAAUUCGCCACUCUCUCCCCUGUCUCUUUGCCCCCAGUGUUGUUCUCUUCAGAUCCAUUGUGAUACCGACUUCUGUCACUCACUCAAAUUUGGUUCCCCUAAGCUUCUGGGCACCUGGAAUGAUUACACAUCCCCAUUCCUUAUAGGCGGGGCCCAUGUGAACAAUUCUGGGAGAUGGGUUAUGAGCCUACAUAGUGUGGGUCACCUCUAGGCCACAGCAUUUAGUUACCAUUGCGAGGAUCCCCAAUACGCCUGUCCCUGCCUUGUGACAAGGAGGCUACGUGUUAUAAAGAGUACGGUUGCAGGAUGGCAGAGCCUCUAUGAGCCUGAGUCCCUGAAUGGUUUCUGGAGCCAAGCAUCCCACUGAUCUAUGGUGGCAGUGUAGCUUGAGUUAAAAAGAAAAAAAAAAUCUUUAUUAAGCUAGUGA